Long non-coding RNA from Lathyrus oleraceus (garden pea), 1247 nucleotides. RefSeq lists it as uncharacterized. The transcript has 2 exons. NCBI's taxonomy places the organism in Eukaryota, Viridiplantae, Streptophyta, Magnoliopsida, Fabales, Fabaceae. The record is from RefSeq and is a predicted model, not a curated record.
AGUCUCCAUUACAUGAUAAUGAAUCCAAUACAACAGAUAGAGAUGGUAAUUACAAAUCAAUCCAACAUUUUGAGGGCUACCGACCGCUAUGCCAUUGGUGUACCAGAAACAACAAGUUCCAUUUUUCGGUUAACUCAACUCCCAAACCCCAACUCAAUCUCAAUUCCCCAAGGUGUGCCAUGGAGGCAUAUGAGACAUUGCAUUCAACCUACCAAUUAUAAGGUCACUGUAUGAGCUGGAUUCCUAGAAUUCUUAUUCCCUGAACAUGAUUGUUGCUUCAUGAAGUUUCUCAGACUGGUUUUUGUUGCUAACUACACAGAAUUGUCCCUCCUAUGUCUUAAUAGCUAGAAGUUUUUUCCACAGUUAUUGCAAUGAAAAAAGCGAAUCCUUCCCUUUCAACCAUCAAUUCCACAAGAAUUCUGCCGUAAUGGCCAAAUGUUCUUUUUGCCUAGUUGAUUCAUCCACAGCUAUGGGAACCCAUGCCCCACUUGCAAUUUCAAAAAGGGUUUUCACUCUCCAAUACUCUUCUGGCAAAUUAACCAAUCUUAACCAAACCAGCGAAUGAGUGGAUGUAGAUUCUACUUGCAAGGUGAGUCGUUAAUAUAUGAUUAGAUCGAUUGUUCAAAUAAGUAUUACAUUAAUUAAGUUGGCUUCAAUUUAACCCAAUAGAAUAUGAUAUAGACUUAGUCUUUCCAUAAUCAUUGUCUAUAUAGAGCCUAUUAUUUUCCUUGUCAUUAUCAUGAUUGAACAGUGAUUCAUACUAGUUCUUUACAUAACAGAGUUGAGACGAUAUCUGAUAUUCAUUAAUACAAACAGAAUUACAAUACAAAGGAUAACCCACAAAUCACACAUAAUAACACUAAGAUAAUUGCUCUAAACUCCUUACUUAGAGGUCUAACAAACAACUACCUAAGUUUGAAAAACUAAAGAGACGCCAACAUAAUUAUCUCGUUUCUAAAAACAAGACCUUAUUUAGUGCAUAACCAAGACCUUACAGGACACCAAAAUUAUAGAAAUUAAAAGCAUAGGAACAACAUGAAAAGUUUUGGGACCGACAUCGACUAACCUAUAUGAACUAGUUUCCUUUUAUUCACUUGGUGGCAUUUGAUGGGCUUGGCACCCAUAAGACAUGCUUAACAGGGAAGAAAUGACACAAUGGACCUUCCCCAGGCUUCAUUCCAAGUAAGUCAAAUAUAAAAUGAUUAGGAUUCAUGGCAGAUGUGUCUAAGUGGCAAAUUCCCAAAGCA